GGUAGGCAUAGCAUGGCUUAGAAUCUGAGACCCACUGCUGAGUAGAAGCAACAGGAUAGCUCCCUUGAUGCUUGCAGCCUGGUGUGGCAGAUAGAUGGCCAUCAAAUAGUCAUGGGGAUGUAAAAUGUCAGCUGGGAUGGGUCCCCAGUCCUAGAAGACUUGAUGGGGUCCGGGGAGUCAGGAAGCUGGUGAUGCCUGGGCCAGCCCAAGGAUGCUGAGGGAUGAGCUCAGAGCACUGGCCUCCCAGACCCUAGAGGGAGGCCUGGGUCCCCCAGUCCAGGGACAGGAAGUGGAGGGGAAUGUGGCUGGAGGGAGAAGUGGCCACCAGAGACCUGAUUCUUUCAGCUGGAGCAGAGCAUCGGGAGGAAAUCCCUCCGCAGUGUGUCGAAGGCAUGCCAGGAAGACAUGCCACACGCGGUCCAGCCCCCCUCGUGGAGGGGAUCAGAAAAGAAAAGCCCUGAGAAGCAAGAAAGCAAGGAUGAAAAAAGAACUUUCAACUUGGAAAUACCCUGAAAACCAACUGGGGCCAUGCAGCUCUCAGGAAACCACUGUCUUCCAUCGAGCAGAGUGUUCAGGACAUUAGCCUGAUGAAUUUGGUUCUUAAAAAUCCAUAAUGGAAGGCACACACACUGGAAAAGCUUUGGAGCCUGCUGGGACAGAUCCAGUGAACCCAGGCGCACCUGCCCGUGACCUCACUGUCCCAGGAGAGUUGCUUACAGGUGUGCACCAAAAGCCACACCCAAGAGCAGUUACAGCAUCGCCACACGCAAUGCCUCGCCCUGGAAGCAGCACCACUGGCCAUCGACAGGAGAGCUUCAGACAGAUUACAGUGUAGACAGGGAGCAAGGAAAGAGAGCUUCUGACCGACGUGGCUCACAUAGCAGGAAUGAGAACCACACCUGCUACGUUCACCUCCAGUAGCCUUGGCUCCCUUUACCGCAGCCCAAAGUUGGCAGUGCGAAUCUGCAGAGAUAGAAGUCUGAGAAGCACCCAUGGCUAGACAGGGCUUGGUGAGGGAAACAGGGAGCAGGGCCCCUGGGCUCCAGAGCUAACAGGCUGCAAGGAUGCAUGGUUAUAUAAAGCCCUCCCCACAACACUCGCUGCUUAGUAAAGUGCAUUCUGAUAGCAAAAUAUGAAAGAAAGAACACUACAGGUGGAUGAGCCCCUGGGAGCCACAAGGCUGGAUGCCAGACACACUUAGGUGCCUCCCCUGCCCUUGGGCUCCAUACAGGGGUACCUAAGGGAGAAAUCUGGAGCCAAACUCCCCCCACUCUAUGCCCAUUUCAGAGUCCAUGCCAAGCCCUGAAAUCAGGGUCCCACGUCCAAAC
This 1328-nucleotide long non-coding RNA is filed under the name Fukomys damarensis (Damara mole-rat). RNAcentral describes it as "lncRNA (ENSFDAG00000027358.1)". Lineage: Eukaryota; Metazoa; Chordata; Mammalia; Rodentia; Bathyergidae. The record is from RNAcentral.